CUAAUCUGCCCUUGGGACGAGAACAACCCCGGGAAACUGGGGCUAAUUCUCGAUAGGUGAAGAACUCUGGAAUGAGUCUUCGCUUAAAAAGCUUCACGUUAUGCUCGUGAAGUCGCCCAAGGAUGAGGCCGCGACCGAUCAGGUUGUUGGUGAGGUAAUGGCUCACCAAGCCUUUUACCGGUGCGGGCCGUGAGAGCGGGAGCCCGGAGAUGGGCACUGAGACAAGGGCCCAGGCCCUACGGGGCGCAGCAGUCGCGAAAACUUUGCAAUACACGAAAGUGUGACAGGGCUAUCCCGAGUGCCAUCCGCUGAGGAAGGCUUUUACCCAGUAUAGAUCGCUGGGGGAAUAAGGAGAGGGCGAGUCUGGUGUCAGCCGCCGCGGUAAUACCAGCUCUCCGAGUGGUGUGGAUGUUUAUUAGGCCUAAAGCAUCCGUAGCUGGCUAAGUUAGUCCCUUGUUAAAUCCACCGAAUUAAUCGUUGGAUUGCGGGGGAUACUGCUUGGCUAGGGGACGAGAGAGGCAGACGGUAUUUCCGGGGUAGGGGUGAAAUCCUAUAAUCCCGGGAAGACCACCAGUGGCGAAGGCUGUCUGCUAGAACGCGCCCGACGGUGAGGGAUGAAAGCUGGGGGAGCGAACCGGAUUAGAUACCCGGGUAGUCCCAGCUGUAAACGAUGCAGGCUAGGUGUUUGGACGGCCACGUGCCGUUCUAGUGCCGCAGGGAAGCUGUUAAGCCUGCCGCCUGGGGAGUACGAUCGCAAGAUUGAAACUUAAAGGAAUUGGCGGGGGAGCACCACAAGGGGUGAAGCUUGCGG
Molecule: ribosomal RNA, 811 nt
Filed under: uncultured crenarchaeote
Lineage: Archaea; Thermoproteati; Thermoproteota
Description: bacterial SSU rRNA
Rfam family: Archaeal small subunit ribosomal RNA
Source: RNAcentral